Molecule: ribosomal RNA, 429 nt
Filed under: uncultured archaeon
Lineage: Archaea
Description: bacterial SSU rRNA
Rfam family: Archaeal small subunit ribosomal RNA
Source: RNAcentral
UACCAGCUCUCCGAGUUGUAGGGACGAUUAUUGGGCUUAAAGCGUCCGUAGCUGGCUUAGCAAGUCUCCUGUUAAAUUCAGCGACCUAAUCGUUGAGCCGCGGGAGAUACUACUAGGCUAGGAGGCGGGAGAGGUCGACGGUACUUUCGGGGUAGGGGUGAAAUCCUAUAAUCCCGGGAGGACCACCAGUGGCGAAGGCUGUCGACUAGAACGCGCUCGACGGUGAGGGACGAGAGCUGGGGUAGCGAACCGGAUUAGAUACCCGGGUAGUCCCAGCUGUAAACUAUGCGGGCUAGGUGUUGGGGUGGCUACGGGCCACUUCAGUGCCGCAGGAAAGCCAUUAAGCCCGCCGCCUGGGGAGUACGGCCGCAAGGCUGAAACUUAAAGGAAUUGGCGGGGGAGCACCACAAGGCGUGAAGCUUGCGGUUC